AAACCCGUGAGAAUGCCCUCAAUCCCCCACCCGGGGACGAGGAGCAGGCAUCAGGCACAAACUUUAGCCCAAGACGCCUUGCCAUGCCACACCCCCAAGGGAAUUCAGCAGUGAUAGAUAUUAAGCCAUAAGUGAAAGCUUGACUUAGUCAGGGAUAAGAGGGCCGGUAAAACUCGUGCCAGCCACCGCGGUUAUACGAGAGGCCCUAGUUGAUGGACACGGCGUAAAGGGUGGUUAAGGUCCAAUACAAAUAAAGCCAAAAGACCUCUUGGCUGUCAUACGCCCCUGAGUUUCCGAAGCCCACGUACGAAAGUAGCUUUAAUAUUAUUCACCUGACCCCACGAAAGCUGAGAAACAAACUGGGAUUAGAUACCCCACUAUGCUCAGCCGUAAACUUAGGCGUUAUUUUACAAUAAACGCCCGCCAGGGUACUACGAGCAUUAGCUUAAAACCCAAAGGACUUGGCGGUGCCUUAGACCCCCCUAGAGGAGCCUGUUCUAGAACCGAUAACCCCCGUUAAACCUCACCACUUCUGGCCAUCCCC
Molecule: ribosomal RNA, 544 nt
Filed under: Misgurnus anguillicaudatus (oriental weatherfish)
Lineage: Eukaryota; Metazoa; Chordata; Actinopteri; Cypriniformes; Cobitidae
Description: partial 12S rRNA
Rfam family: Bacterial small subunit ribosomal RNA
Source: RNAcentral